CACGUAGGCGGUGAAUCGGGUUGAAAGUGAAAGUCGCCAAAAACUGGCGGAAUGCUCUCGAAACCAAUUCACUUGAGUGAGACAGAGGAGAGUGGAAUUUCGUGUGUAGGGGUGAAAUCCGGAGAUCUACGAAGGAACGCCAAAAGCGAAGGCAGCUCUCUGGGUCCCUACCGACGCUGGGUGCGAAAGCAUGGGGAGCGAAG
This 203-nucleotide ribosomal RNA is filed under the name uncultured bacterium. RNAcentral's name for it is "partial 16S ribosomal RNA". It matches the Rfam family "Bacterial small subunit ribosomal RNA", at positions 568 to 773 of the family's 1533-position model. The record is from RNAcentral.